RNAcentral lists this long non-coding RNA (2675 nucleotides) under Sorghum bicolor (sorghum). RNAcentral's name for it is "long non-coding RNA (SBIC_LNC009447)". The record is from RNAcentral. Lineage: Eukaryota; Viridiplantae; Streptophyta; Magnoliopsida; Poales; Poaceae.
CGUCACAAAUUGACAAAAUCCGUGACGAUCUCAAACCGUCACAGUUGAGCCCAAAGCCUAGUUAGCCCAGCCCAAGCCCAAUACCUAUGACGGUUCUAAACCGUCACAAAUAAAUUGCCACAUCAUCAUCAGACUGCUUACGUGGAUGAUAACAUGGAUGCUUACAUCACCAACUGGCCCAUCUAUUUUUAUUUUAAGAAGAAAUCCCAACAUUCAUUGAAUGACAAAUAUGGUGAAAUUUCAUUAUAGCAUUCUGAAUUAUACAUUUACAACCAUUUGGUCAAAUAUAUUUAUAUAAAAAGAUUUACAAAUUGAUGAUGAAUCAAUUUAAAAACUACACUAAUUCAAACAGCUAACAUUGUCUAUCCACCAUGCCGCGAUAAGCAAAUAAGCAAUGCAACCGCCUUGGUGAAAUGAUGUUCCUUGGUCAAGCACUUCUCCAAUAUUGUUUUAUCCACCAAUUCUCUUCCUAAAAACCAGAAAAAGAAACGUUCGAUCAAAUGGUGAUUCAAAGAACUUAAUAGAUAGCACUGCAACGACAAGAUAAUGUAACACUACUAAUUGUUGAAUUAUAGAUUAGAACACAAAAACUAUUAAUUCCUGUAAGAAAAACUUAUGCAUCUACUCAAUAGUCUGGCUGCUGUUUCAUCAAAACAGGAAUAAAUGCAAGUAACACAUACACGGAAGAUAUAUUGCCAUAGUCAGUGCACCUAGAGAAAUACAUGAUUUGCCAAGGGAGCAUAGCUUUGAAUUACGGUGGCAAAAAGAGAAAUAACAGGUCAACCAGCAAACUUAGAGUUUUCUGAAAUCUCAAUUACCACCCUUGUUUUUUGUGUGCCUGCUGAAAAAUAAAUGCUACUGUUACUACAUACUAUACUAUCGAAAAUGUCCAGCAUGCUUUAAAAUUAUUAAACUUCUUGUUUAGCAAACAGGAGGUUAGAACCUAUAAUACUCACUCAAACCUAUUCCAAAUGGCCUGUAGUUGCACAAUAGAUAGCAGUCAUCGUCAGAUUUAUUUGUCAUACAUAUAUGAUGCUUAAAUCCCUACAGAAGGUGUCGAUGGAAAAAUAGAGGGCUACAAGCAGGAAAUAGUAGUACACUUGCCAUCAAUUUAUUACAAGUACAAGUGACAUCACAACAGUAGGAGCUAACUAACCAUGCUAACUAGAAGCAGCUCCCUGACUACCUAUGGUCGAAUUAAUAAGCAGUUGUAGUAUACUGAACUUCCAAAGAUUAAUUUAACUAGGAGCAGUACACUGAACUACAUCUUUAAUCUAGACUUUGGCCGAUGGCUAUAUGCAUCCAGAAUACAAGAGACCACCAGCAAAUUUAUAGUUUAAUGGUGAACUACAGAAUUAAGUAUAUUAAAAUCUACACUACUGCAUUACAUGCAGAACAUAUCACUGUAAAUAGCACAAAAAACAAAGAGAAUGCCUGUUGAUGUGUUAAUGUAAGGUAAAGGCAAUUAGGGAACGAUGUGGGACAUUACACUAAAAUGAGCAGUAGAAGAUUGACUGUUCUAUUUCCAGAAUACUAAACCUAUUGUUGCCACUGAAGAAAACUAGUAGCUGUCCAUCUGCUCCUUGAAGCUGUGGUUGCUGAAUUACAGUGAGAAAAACAACCAGGCAAAAGCAUGAGCUGUUGUUGUACUAGUUAAUAAAAACAUGUAGUCUUCAAAAUUCAUCAAAAGUGAACUAAAACAAAACCAGCUGAACUGAAAUAUAUUAUUUUUAACUUGGGCUAUGAGAAUGUUAUCACUUUGAUGAAGCAAAAUUGAUUUCAAUUCGAACAGCACAUAUUAGUUGUAAGCCGAAGAAAGGUGGAGAUAUUUAGAAAAUUUUUCUAACCCUAGAGCUGAACUACAAUUAAAACAGGUUGAAAGAGCCUAAAAUUAUUAUUCAUAACACUAUGAGAAUGCACAGUUUCUUGGGUGUUAGAUAACCUGGGACAAAAUAUCACCACAAUAGUAUAGCUAAUCAUUUAUUGAACACUUCAUUGAAAAAUAUAUACAAGAAUAACAUGUAUAAGUAUGAUUUUUAGAGUGUUCUCCGAGCUUGUCAAAUUUAUGUUUUUAUUGAUGCUGAACUGAAUUCAUAUUCAAAAAUACAGAAUCAUGUUGCUGUUGCCGGUUAACAGAUGCAAAGCCAACACCAUUGAACUGCUGCUAAUUCAGAAGAAAUCCAAAACCUGAAAAAUUCAGAACUGCAGAAAUUCAGAACCCUAACGCAUCAUUGCAGGACAUCAGUGAAUGGGUUAUGCAAUUUAUACUCUGAAUAGGAUGAAUUUAUGUUAGCAUCUAUUGGAAAUUACUAACCUCUGGUCUCCCAAAAACAAAGGCCUGAGAAGACCUCUACCAAAUCUAACCACAGAGAAGGCCGUCAUCGCCAGCAUCCUGGCAGAGCUUGUCACGCCAAAGCUACACGCCACCAUGCCUCUGCAUCUGCCGGAGCAGCAUGCUGCUAGGCAGGGCAGCGUCCGCCCAGAGCUGCACGCCUCCAAGCCGUUGCAUCUACCCGGAGCAGCACUAUCAGGCCGCCUCUGCCCAGAUCUCGGAGUCACGCGCCACCAGGCCACAUCUACCGCCGCGCCACCAUGCCGCAUCUACGGGAGCCGCCUGCUCCAGGCCGCGUCCGCUAGUGUGGCGUGGGAUGUGCGUGGCACCUGCUGGAAGGGAG